RNAcentral lists this transfer RNA (55 nucleotides) under Leptotrombidium sp. TLMW-1. RNAcentral describes it as "tRNA-His". The record is from RNAcentral. Lineage: Eukaryota; Metazoa; Arthropoda; Arachnida; Trombidiformes; Trombiculidae.
UCCUUUCUAGUUUAUAAAAAAUAUCAAAUUGUGGUUUUGAAGAAUUCUAAAGGAA